Long non-coding RNA from Brassica rapa (field mustard), 2257 nucleotides. RefSeq lists it as uncharacterized. NCBI's taxonomy places the organism in Eukaryota, Viridiplantae, Streptophyta, Magnoliopsida, Brassicales, Brassicaceae. The record is from RefSeq and is a predicted model, not a curated record.
UAACCGAACCCGAAAUAAAAAUAUCCGAACCCGACCCGAAGUACAGAAAUAUCCGAACGGGUUCUACACCUCUAUACCGAAAUACCCGAAAAUCCGAAAUAUCCGAUCCGAACCCGAACGGAUACCCGAACGCCCACCCCUAUAUAGAGUGUAGAUGAAAAGGAGCUAUUCGGUGGUUACAAGACAUAGCUUUACCUCUAAAUAAAGUCUUUGAACAAAGACAUUGGAGCUUCAACUUCGGAAUUUACUUUUUGAGGACUAAUUUCUUCGAUAAUUUAGACAGCUACACAUUUCUCGUGAGUUAUUCAAUCUCGCCCCCACCAAAAACAAAGUAAUUUUGUAAAUUUAGCGCAGGUCUUUUUGUAGUACUACUUUAGCCUUUCCUUGGUUAGUUCUGUUCUGCACGCUUCAGUUUUCUGCUAGUUAUGGAUACCUUCGGGGCCUAGGUAAUACAGCCUUGAUAACGUACAAGUUCCAAUCUAAUAUCUUGCAUGAUUUUGUAUAUAAAAGCUCAGUUUAUAUGUGUUAGAUCAUGUUAACAUACAUUAUAUGAAGAGAAUGAGACAAUGAGAUCAACGUAACCAAAGCAAGCCGUAUAUAGGAAUCUACCAACACUUAAAUAUAUUCACAAGUUACAGACUCUAUAACAUGAUUCUUUUAGGGAAACUCGAGUUUGUUUUCUUACAGUAUCUUUUCUUGCUUGUCAAUCCAAGGCUCUAUGAAUUCAGAUAAUUGAGUUACAUUACAGAUACCACAGAGCCUUGACGGCUUUGAACCUAAUUAACACUAGAUGGACAAUGAUGAAUCUGAUGGUUAAUCUCUCUUUGAUACUCUGCAUUUGAUAGGACUAUCAGAAGGUUCUUCUUCUAAUAUAUACAUGUUUGUGGUCAGAAUCUUUUGUGUGGGAAGAACAUACUCAUUAACAUGAGCAUACAUGCAGCUUAUGUUAAGGCCAUAAGAUCUGCUCAGCAUUUCAUCUACAUUGUGAACCAAUAUUUUCUUGGAUCAUCGAUCAUUCAACUGGGAUUCAAACAAGGACUUGGGUGCAAACAAUCUAAUCCCUAUUGAAAUCGCGCUAAAGAUUGCUAACAAAAUUAGAGCAAGGGGGAAGUUUGCUGCUUACAUUGUCAUUCCAAUGUGGCCAGAAGGUGCUCCAACAAGUAACCCUAUACAGAGGAUUCUAUACUGGCAGCACAAAACCAUGCAAAUGAUGUAUCAAACCAUCCACAAGGCACUUGUGGAAGUUGGACUUGAUGGACAGUAUGAGCCACAAGACUUUAUAAUAUGAUAGGCAAGCCAAAUGAAUUCAAAAGCAUAACCUAACAAAUUUUUGACUAUGAUAAACAUACGAACACUAGGUCAAGAAAAUUAUACAAACACGUUACUCUUCGUUUCCAAAAAGGACCAAACCUCUAUUCAGUUUCAAAUUUUACUUCUGUCUUAUGUACAUUAGUUUUUAUUUUUAAGACAAUGAUUAUUUUCUAAGGCCAUGAGUGAUUUAAUUUGAAUUCAUUAUAUACAAGAAAAAGAAAAAAUAACAAGUAAAAAUACUUUACUUUUAUAGAGAACCAUAAAAUGUUAAAUUUCCAAAUUUUCGUAGUCCUUGCUUUUUUUUAACGACAUAUUCGAUCAAAUAGCUUAAAAAUAUGUCAUCAAACGUUUGUGAAUGACUUAUGUAAAAUUUCCAGUUUUUUUUUGGUUAAUAAUUCUUAAUGAUAUAUGCAUGAUUUACAUAUUUUACCAAAUUUCUUUUAAAAAAAAGCCAAAGACUUUCAAGAGAUUUAGAAGAUUUCUUUUAUUUUUGAAAUAGAAUUUUUCAUUUUCCAUGUCUAACUUUUUUUCUAUUUUAAUAAGGUUAACCAUCUUUAUAUAUAAAGCUAGUUCUCUCUUGAACUUAAAAGAAGAAAAAUAAAGUUAGAAAGAACAAGUUUUUGGUUUUUUGAAGAAAUAAUAUGGGGGCUUCGAUUGGUUACAUCAUAACUGCCGCUAUUGUGGCCUGUUUAAUCAUCUUGGCUGUUCUCUGGCAUUUUGGAUGGAUUUGGUGUGGCGGCAACCGCCAACAAGUUGUGCCCGAUGAUGGUGGUUUAUAAGUAUUUUUGUUUAACUAUUGUUUUGUUUUAUGAAAAUUUUGUCUUUUUUUAACAGGUGAUGAAAAUUCUAAAUUAUUUAUCUAUAUCGAAUAGCAUAUCAAUAAUGUAACGCUGCAAUAUUAAACAGUGGAGUUUUUCAGUUUAUUUAUUUAUAUAUAAUAAAAUUA